RNAcentral lists this ribosomal RNA (872 nucleotides) under uncultured crenarchaeote. Its description in RNAcentral is "bacterial SSU rRNA". It matches the Rfam family "Archaeal small subunit ribosomal RNA", at positions 66 to 921 of the family's 1478-position model. Lineage: Archaea; Thermoproteati; Thermoproteota. The record is from RNAcentral.
UAUGUCUGUGAGCGUGCACACUGCUCAGUAACACGUAACUAACCUACCCUUAGGACGUGCACCACCCCGAGAAAUUGGGCCUCAUCCGCGAUAGAUUUAUUGUCCUGGAAUGGUAUUACNUCUAAAGGUAUCCCAUACAUGUUUGGUAUAUGCCUAAGGAUGGGGCUGCGGCCGAUCAGGCUGUUGGUGAGGUAAUCCCUCACCAAACCUUUGACCGGUCCGGGCCAUGAGAGUGGUAGCCCGCACAUCGACACUUGAGACCAGGGUCCAGGCCCUACGGGGCGCAAGCAUGCGGAAACCUCCUCAAAUGCACUUAACGUGCGAAGGGGCUACCUCGAGUGCCAUCUGAUGAAGGUGGCUUUUCCUAGGUCUAAAAAGCCUUGGGAAUAAGAGGGGGGCAAGACUGGUGUCAGCCGCCGCGGUAACACCAGCCCCUCGAGUGGUGGGGAUGAUUAUUGGGCCUAAAGCGUCCGUAGCCUGCCGUGUAAGUUUCCCGUUAAAUCCAGCGUCUCAAGCGUUGGACUGCGGGAAAUACUGUACGGCUAGAGAGUGGGAGAGGUUAGCGGUAUUCUGGGGGUAGGGGCGAAAUCCUUUGAUCCCCGGAGGACCACCAGUGGCGAAGGCUGCUGACUAGAACACGUCUGACGGUCAGGGACGAAAGCUGGGGUAGCGAACCGGAUUAGAUACCCGGGUAGUCCCAGCCGUAAACGAUGCAUGCUAGGUGUUGGGUUGGCCACGAGCCACCCCAGUGCCGCAGGGAAGCCGUUAAGCAUGCCGCCUGGGAAGUACGAUCGCAAGGUUGAAACUUAAAGGAAUUGGCGGGGGAGCACCACCAGGCGUGAAGCCUGCGGUUUAAUUGGAUUCAACGCCGG